UGAAGGUUACACAUCUCUAACUUGUUUAUUUUGUCACUCUAUUCAUCUCUGUUUCCUCUUAUUUUCAAUUUUAUUCUUGCCUCACCAAUGAUUAUGAUCGGGUUUUUUGUAUUGUUUUGAUGAGAUUGAGAUGUUUGUUAGGAUUAUGAGGAUCUCAUAAUAAUAAAGGUGAUGCUAAUGUAACACUGGAAAAAUGAUUGAGUUGGUUUCCUUUAUACCACACGAUCUCAUUUUCAUUUU
This 240-nucleotide long non-coding RNA is filed under the name Lathyrus oleraceus (garden pea). RNAcentral's name for it is "Pisum sativum (pea) long non-coding RNA (PSAT_LNC040927)". Lineage: Eukaryota; Viridiplantae; Streptophyta; Magnoliopsida; Fabales; Fabaceae. The record is from RNAcentral.